UUUAUUUUCUAACAAGUCCUCAUAGUUUUCUCCUAAAGGGAAAAAAAUGAUAUUAAUGCUGAAGCCGAUAUUCAUUUUAUGUAUUUUCUAUGUUUAUUAAUGAAGCUUGAAACUUUCAAUAAUAUAGGACCCAUUUUCAUUGUCUCAGCUUAGGGGACCUGCAAAUAAAGAAAGAAUAGUCAGAGGUCUAUCAGGGAGGUCUCUCAUGAGGACCCUCUGACGCUCAAGUUAGAGGGG
Molecule: unclassified non-coding RNA, 237 nt
Filed under: Hevea brasiliensis (rubber tree)
Lineage: Eukaryota; Viridiplantae; Streptophyta; Magnoliopsida; Malpighiales; Euphorbiaceae
Source: RNAcentral